RNAcentral lists this microRNA precursor (102 nucleotides) under Lotus japonicus. Its description in RNAcentral is "miR11108k stem-loop (lja-MIR11108k)". The record is from miRBase by way of RNAcentral. Lineage: Eukaryota; Viridiplantae; Streptophyta; Magnoliopsida; Fabales; Fabaceae.
UUCUUAGUCUAAUCACAUUGGAGAUAAGUGAGUUGGAAAUAAAUUAAUAAAUAAAAUAUAGAAAUUUCUACUCACUUAUCUUCAAUGUGAUUAGAUGAUGAG